Molecule: ribosomal RNA, 253 nt
Filed under: uncultured bacterium
Lineage: Bacteria
Description: partial 16S ribosomal RNA
Rfam family: Bacterial small subunit ribosomal RNA
Source: RNAcentral
UACGGAGGGUGCAAGCGUUAUCCGGAUUUACUGGGGUUAAAGGGUGUGUAGGCGGUCUAUUAAGUCAGCGGUGAAAUCUCCGGGCUCAACCCGGAAACUGCCAUUGAUACUAUUAGUCUUGAAUGUUGUUGAGGUGGGCGGAACGGGUCAUGUAGCGGUGAAAUGCAUAGAUAUGACCCGGAACACCGAUUGCGAAGGCAGCCCACUAAGCAACGAUUGACGCUGAGGCACGAAAGCGUGGGGAUCAAACAGG